This 94-nucleotide non-coding RNA is filed under the name unclassified sequences. Its description in RNAcentral is "c-di-GMP sequence". It matches the Rfam family "c-di-GMP-II-GAG riboswitch aptamer". The record is from Rfam by way of RNAcentral.
CAGCCAAAGGAAGACAGUGACGCUCCGGGAGGAACGCGGUCACCUUGUACACGUCCCCGAAGCAGAGUCAGUGGUGAGACCGGCCCAUGCGGUC